This 151-nucleotide unclassified non-coding RNA is filed under the name Metapochonia bulbillosa. RNAcentral describes it as "ITS1". Lineage: Eukaryota; Fungi; Ascomycota; Sordariomycetes; Hypocreales; Clavicipitaceae. The record is from RNAcentral.
CCCCUGUGUACUUAUACCUUUACUGUUGCUUCGGCGGGUUAACGCCCCGCGAAGGCCCGCGAGGGCCGCCGGAACCAGGCGCCCGCCGGGGGACCCAAACUCUUGUAUCUUUUUUAUAGCAUGUCUGAGUGGAAUCAUAAACAAAUGAAUC